This 955-nucleotide long non-coding RNA is filed under the name Mytilus galloprovincialis (Mediterranean mussel). Lineage: Eukaryota; Metazoa; Mollusca; Bivalvia; Mytilida; Mytilidae. The record is from RNAcentral.
UGAACUUCAAUUUAACACCUUAGCUAGAGAUGGAUAAAGCAUGCCUUCUGCGAGUCCGGUUUUUUAAAGGAAAAGAAUGUCAACAUUGAAAGUGAAACAAAGGGAAAUUAUCUGAUUGACUGAUUCGAUCCACAAAACAUUCUUAUACAGGUAAAAACGAUCAUGAUUAACAUAUUAUUUUAAAUCUAUAAUAUGAAAUUAAACAAACCUAGAAAACCCAAUUGCACGAGUUUUGCGUUCUUUUUAUAUCUAUAUUUAUGUUUAUAUUACUUAUAUGACCAUCGGAGGUCAACUCGAUAGUUAAUUAGAUGCCUACAAGACUUAAUACACACAAAACGAAGCUGCGUAUUAUCGAGCCCAUGCCCUGAAAAUUGUUUUCUUUAGACUUUUUAUAAUUGGGAUAAUUGUUUUACAAGGUUACUAAUAAAAUAUGAGGAUUUGAGUCCAAUCAAUGAACAUGAAUUUGACAGCUAGUGCCUCUUUAACAGAUAUAAUCAAUCAUCCCUCUUUUUUAAAAUCUUGAUAAAAAAAUAAUGAAAGGUGCAUAAAAACUCUUACAGUGAACUAAUUUAAAAUAAACAAAAACCAUACAAUUACAAAAAUGGAAUUUAGACAUACUCGAGGCUUAUAUUUGUUAUAUUAUCUGUGCAGGAAGUUUAAGUCUGAAAUGGAAAGUUCACGGUUUUGAUGAAAGUUCAACUUGUGAAGUUAAAUUUUCUAUCCCUUUUUCAAAGAUUAGCGGGUUUUCGUUGUUCGUUACUAUUUUGUUUGUUUACUUUUUAAGGAUAUUAGAUUGACAUCGAUUUCACAUUACUUGAUAACACGAAACAACUUAAUUUUGGAUGUAAUACGUGUUCUGAUUGACCGCUGACAGUGUUUUGUCUAUCAUCUCAUAGACAUAAUUUUGUCAUUUGGCCUUGACGUCAUCACCGUAUUUUUCAUGAUUUACUCCGGC